RNAcentral lists this ribosomal RNA (494 nucleotides) under uncultured bacterium. Its description in RNAcentral is "partial 16S ribosomal RNA". It matches the Rfam family "Bacterial small subunit ribosomal RNA", at positions 28 to 507 of the family's 1533-position model. The record is from RNAcentral.
GACGAACGCUGGCGGCGUGCUUAACACAUGCAAGUCGAACGGAAAGGCCUGCUUUCCCUUGUGGAUUGCGGGUGCUCGAGUGGCGAACGGGUGAGUAACACGUGAGUGAUCUGCCCCCAACUUGGGUAUAAGCCUGGGAAACUGGGUCUAAUUCCCGAUAGGACUGCAGGGUGGUGCCUGUGGUGGAAAACGAUUUUCUAGUGGUUGGGGAUGAGCUCGCGGCCUAUCAGCUUGUUGGUGGGGUAAUGGCCUACCAAGGCGGCGACGGGUAGCCGGCCUGGGAGGGUGGGCGGCCACAUUGGGACUGAGAUACGGCCCAGAAUCCUACGGGAGGCAGCAGUGGGGAAUAUUGCCCAAUGGGGGGGAGCCUGAUGCAGCGACGCCGGGUGGGGGAUGACGGCCUUCGGGUUGUAAACUCCUUUCGACCGCGAGGAAGCCACCUGGUUGGAAGGGUGGUGACGGUAGUGGUAGAAGAAGCACCGGCUAACUACGUG